This 950-nucleotide long non-coding RNA is filed under the name Trifolium pratense (red clover). RNAcentral's name for it is "long non-coding RNA (TPRA_LNC002165)". Lineage: Eukaryota; Viridiplantae; Streptophyta; Magnoliopsida; Fabales; Fabaceae. The record is from RNAcentral.
GAAAGAGGAACAAAAGAAAAAACACGGUAAGCAUUUCACAAAUCCUACAACAACAUUCAAACACCUACAUCAACCUUCCAAAAUCUUUCAAUUAAGCUAAGUACUACUCCACAAACAUUUUAGCUGUCUUUCAACACCUAGCAAGCAGUCACAAAACAAGCAAAAUUAGACGACAUUCUCCACCCAGACCAAGCAAAAAACACAUCAUGCUUGAAAGAAAAGCAAAAACUAAUAAGAGAGGUAAAAAGUCUGCAAACACUACAACUCAUUCUAUACAACUUAGUGAGCAGUACUCCGAGAUUCACAAAAACACUUCAAAUCUAAGAUUAUUGAGAUAUCAUCCAUGUAAUAAGUCAUUUCUUAUUGUGAACACGCAUGAAAGCAUUGGUGUGUUGGUGCCUUUAACUAUAUAAUUAAAGGCACCAACACACCAAUGUUUUCAUUUGUGUUCACAAUAAGAUAUGAGUUAUUACCUAAUUGAUAUAUAUCUCAAUAAUCUCAUAUUUGAAGUAUUUUUUUGUGAGUCUCAGAAUACUGCUCACUAAGUUGUAUAUAAUGAAUUGUAGUCUUUGUAGACUUUUUACCCUUCUGGGUUUUGGCUUUUCUUUCAGGCAUGAUGCGUUUUUUGCUUGGUUUGGGUGGAGAAGGUCGUUUCAUUUUGCUUCUCUGGUGACCGCUUGAUUGGUGUGGAAAGACAGCUGAAAUAUUUGUGGAAUAGUACAUAGCUUAAUUGAAAUGUGUUUGAAUGUUGUCGUUGUGGGAUUUGUGGACUGCUUGCCACAUUUUUUUUCUUUUAUUCAUCUUUUUCUCAAUUUUUUGCCUCCCAAAUGAUUAGAGUUUGAAUGAUAAAAGAGCAUGUUGGACAACCUCUUUAAUUUUGAUGCAGAUUUGGAAAGAAACAAAAAUGGAAUACUUGAAUUAAGGGGGGAUUGGAGUUGAAAAAACAUGGG